Molecule: ribosomal RNA, 497 nt
Filed under: Colletotrichum sp. TH-SZ2d
Lineage: Eukaryota; Fungi; Ascomycota; Sordariomycetes; Glomerellales; Glomerellaceae
Description: eukaryotic LSU rRNA
Rfam family: 5.8S ribosomal RNA (bases 140-293)
Source: RNAcentral
ACCUAUAACUGUUGCUUCGGCGGGUAGGGUCUCCGCGACCCUCCCGGCCUCCCGCCCCCGGGCGGGUCGGCGCCCGCCGGAGGAUAACCAAACUCUGAUUUAACGACGUUUCUUCUGAGUGGUACAAGCAAAUAAUCAAAACUUUUAACAACGGAUCUCUUGGUUCUGGCAUCGAUGAAGAACGCAGCGAAAUGCGAUAAGUAAUGUGAAUUGCAGAAUUCAGUGAAUCAUCGAAUCUUUGAACGCACAUUGCGCCCGCCAGCAUUCUGGCGGGCAUGCCUGUUCGAGCGUCAUUUCAACCCUCAAGCUCUGCUUGGUGUUGGGGCCCUACAGCCGAUGUAGGCCCUCAAAGGUAGUGGCGGACCCUCCCGGAGCCUCCUUUGCGUAGUAACUUUACGUCUCGCACUGGGAUCCGGAGGGACUCUUGCCGUAAAACCCCCCAAUUUUCCAAAGGUUGACCUCGGAUCAGGUAGGAAUACCCGCUGAACUUAAGCAUA